CCUACGGGCGGCAGCAGUGGGGGAUAUUGCACAAUGGGGGAAACUCUGAUGCAGCGACGCCGCGUGUGGGAAGACGGUCCUCUGGAUUGUAAACUACUGUUACCAGGGACGAAAAUGAUGGUACCUGGGGAGGAUGCAUCGGCUAACUACGUGCAAGCAGCCGCGGUAAUACGAAGGGAGCGGGCGUUGUCCGGAAUUACUGGUUGUAAAGGGAGCGUAGGCGGGGAUGCAAGGUGGGUGUCAAAACUACCGGCUCAACUGGUAGUCGCACUCAAAACUGGAGGUCUUGAGUGAAGUAGAGGCAGGCGGAAUUCCUAGUGUAGCGGUGAAAUGCGUAGAUAUUAGGAGGAACACCAGUGGCGAAGGCGGCCUGCUGGGCUUUAACUGACGCUGAGGCUCGAAAGUGUGGGGAGCAAACAGGAUUAGAUACCCUGGUAGUC
Molecule: ribosomal RNA, 440 nt
Filed under: uncultured bacterium
Lineage: Bacteria
Description: partial 16S ribosomal RNA
Rfam family: Bacterial small subunit ribosomal RNA
Source: RNAcentral